Penicillium egyptiacum is the source of this 102-nucleotide non-coding RNA. The record is from the annotation of a GenBank genome assembly. NCBI's taxonomy places the organism in Eukaryota, Fungi, Ascomycota, Eurotiomycetes, Eurotiales, Aspergillaceae.
GGCUCAGUGGUUUAGUGGGAUAAUUCAUCUUUCGGGAGAAAUCUCUGGUUUCACAAUUACCAAAUAUAGAUGAGGUCCCGGGUUCGAUUCCCGGCUGAGCCC